UGUACGGAAUCCUUUAGAGAUAGAGGAGUGCUCGAAAGAGAACCGUAACACAGGUGCUGCAUGGCUGUCGUCAGCUCGUGUCGUGAGAUGUUGGGUUAAGUCCCGCAACGAGCGCAACCCUUGUCAUUAGUUGCUACAUUCAGUUGGGCACUCUAAUGAGACUGCCGGUGACAAACCGGAGGAAGGUGGGGAUGACGUCAAGUCCUCAUGGCCCUUAUAGGUGGGGCUACACACGUCAUACAAUGGAUGGUACAAAGGGUCGCCAACCCGCGAGGGGGGAGCCAAUCCCAUAAAGCCAUUCGUAGUCCGGAUCGCAGUCUGCAACUCGACUGCGUGAAGUCGGAAUCGCUAGUAAUCGUGGAUCAGAAUGUCACGGUGAAUACGUUCCCGGGUCUU
RNAcentral lists this ribosomal RNA (396 nucleotides) under uncultured Acidovorax sp. RNAcentral's name for it is "bacterial SSU rRNA". It matches the Rfam family "Bacterial small subunit ribosomal RNA", at positions 987 to 1382 of the family's 1533-position model. The record is from RNAcentral. Lineage: Bacteria; Pseudomonadati; Pseudomonadota; Betaproteobacteria; Burkholderiales; Comamonadaceae.